GAUGAACGCUGGCGGCGUGCCUAAUACAUGCAAGUCGAGCGGACGGACGAGAAGCUUGCUUCUCUGAUGUUAGCGGCGGACGGGUGAGUAACACGUGGAUAACCUACCUAUAAGACUGGGAUAACUUCGGGAAACCGGAGCUAAUACCGGAUAAUAUUUUGAACCGCAUGGUUCAAAAGUAAAAGACGGUCUUGCUGUCACUUAUAGAUGGAUCCGCGCUGCAUUAGCUAGUUGGUAAGGUAACGGCUUACCAAGGCAACGAUGCAUAGCCGACCUGAGAGGGUGAUCGGCCACACUGGAACUGAGACACGGUCCAGACUCCUACGGGAGGCAGCAGUAGGGAAUCUUCCGCAAUGGGCGAAAGCCUGACGGAGCAACGCCGCGUGAGUGAUGAAGGUCUUCGGAUCGUAAAACUCUGUUAUUAGGGAAGAACAUAUGUGUAAGUAACUGUGCACAUCUUGACGGUACCUAAUCAGAAAGCCACGGCUAACUACGUG
This 497-nucleotide ribosomal RNA is filed under the name uncultured bacterium. RNAcentral's name for it is "partial 16S ribosomal RNA". It matches the Rfam family "Bacterial small subunit ribosomal RNA", at positions 28 to 507 of the family's 1533-position model. The record is from RNAcentral.